Molecule: ribosomal RNA, 253 nt
Filed under: uncultured bacterium
Lineage: Bacteria
Description: partial 16S ribosomal RNA
Rfam family: Bacterial small subunit ribosomal RNA
Source: RNAcentral
UACGUAGGGGGCAAGCGUUGUCCGGAUUUAUUGGGCGUAAAGAGCGUGUAGGCGGCCAGACAGGUCCGUUGUGAAAACUUGAGGCUCAACCUCGAGACGCCGAUGGAAACCGUCUGGCUAGAGUCCGGAAGAGGAGAGUGGAAUUCCUGGUGUAGCGGUGAAAUGCGCAGAUAUCAGGAAGAACACCCGUGGCUAAGGCGGCUCUCUAGUACGGUACUGACGCUGAGACGCGAAAGCGUGGGGAGCGAACCGG